CCAGACUCCUACGGGAGGCAGCAGUCGGGAAUAUUGCGCAAUGGAGGAAACUCUGACGCAGUGACGCCGCGUAUAGGACGAAGGUCUUCGGAUUGUAAACUAUUGUCGUUAGGGAAGAGAAAGGACAGUACCUAAGGAGGAAGCUCCGGCUAACUACGUGCCAGCAGCCGCGGUAAUACGUAGGGAGCAAGCGUUAUCCGGAUUUAUUGGGUGUAAAGGGAGCGCAGACGGCAGUGCAAGUCUGGAGUGAAAGCCCGGGGCCCAACCCCGGAACUGCUCUGGAAACUGUGCGGCUAGAGUACUGGAGGGGCAGGCGGAAUUCCUAGUGUAGCGGUGAAAUGCGUAGAUAUUAGGAGGAACACCAGUGGCGAAGGCGGCCUGCUGGACAGUAACUGACGUUGAGGCUCGAAAGCGUGGGGAGCAAACAGGAUUAGAUACCCGUGUA
RNAcentral lists this ribosomal RNA (445 nucleotides) under uncultured bacterium. Its description in RNAcentral is "bacterial SSU rRNA". It matches the Rfam family "Bacterial small subunit ribosomal RNA", at positions 331 to 792 of the family's 1533-position model. The record is from RNAcentral.